UUUUAUUUAUAUAUGUUUUUGAGCUAGAAUUUGAUGGAUAACUAGCUUGUUAUAUAUAAUUCGUAUUAGUUAGAAAAACUUGAUCAAUAUUAGGUAUGAGAAAAAAAUAAAGUAAAUGUGUUGUUAAUAUUUAGUCAUUGCAAUAAAAUUAAAGUAAAAAAAUUGUAGGCGUAAGAGAUUAGAACAGUAAGGAUUAGGAUACACCACCGUACAAACCAAAUAGUUGAAACAACACAAUAAUGAUGGAGCUCAU
Molecule: long non-coding RNA, 253 nt
Filed under: Setaria viridis
Lineage: Eukaryota; Viridiplantae; Streptophyta; Magnoliopsida; Poales; Poaceae
Description: long non-coding RNA (SVIR_LNC007904)
Source: RNAcentral